Long non-coding RNA from Passer domesticus (house sparrow), 1021 nucleotides. RefSeq lists it as uncharacterized. The record is from RefSeq and is a predicted model, not a curated record. The transcript is spliced from 3 exons. Lineage: Eukaryota; Metazoa; Chordata; Aves; Passeriformes; Passeridae.
GCCCCGCUGCAGGAACCGCUGCCGUGGGGCUGUUACGGGCGCUGCCCGCCCCGCGGCCCGACGGCUGCCACGUCCGGGGCUUGUGGAAUCCCAGCGUGGCUUUGGUUGGCAGGGAGCUUAAAUUCCAUCCCAUUCCACCCCCUGUCGUGGCAGGGGCGCCUUCCACUAGACCAGGGUGCUCCAAGCCCCAGUGUCCAUCCUGGCCUGGGAAACUUCCAGGGAUCCAGGGGCAGCCGCAGCUGCUCUGCGCCAGGGCCUCAUCCUCCCUCUCACAGCCAAGAAUUUCUUCUCAAUAUCCAAAUAAAGUCCUCCCAUUCCCAGCUUAAAGCCAUUCCCUGUGUCCUGUCCCUCCAUCCCUUGUCCCCAGUCCCUCUCCAGCUCUCCUGGAGCCCCUUCAGGCCCUGCCAGGGGCUCUGAGCUCUCCCUGGAGCCUUCUCCUCUCCAGGGGAACAUUCCCAGCUCUCCCAGCCUGGAGCAGAUUUCCAGCUCUUGGACCAUCUUUGUGCCUAUUCUGACCCUGUUCCAGCAGACCUUUGUUGUGGAGGGAGAAGUGCAGGCUGAGCUUUCCGUCUUUCACACCAGAGGCUGGGAUACUUCCCGAGAGACUCGGGAAGGAAAAGGAGGAGGAAGACGAGGAGGAUGUAGGACUGAUCUCUGAUCUGGAUUGCAGCCUUGCAGCCACAUCGUGUAAUCCUUCUCAUGGGCUAAUCAGGUCGCAGCCUUAAAAGGAAUGUUAAGUGGUUUUACAUAAGGCAUUACGUGGGUUUGGAGAAUGUGAUCUGUUUGUGCUGCAGUCUGAGGAGGAAGAACAGCCAUGGUUGUUUUAACGAGACACCGAGGAGCACCAGGUAACAGUGGCUGCAGAGCUGGAGGGAUUUCUAACUGAAAAAAGAUAAUAAAGGUAGUUUUAAAAGCAGUGAAAAUACUUCAACUCUGGUGGUUUUUUUGACUACUAAAAUAUCUUUAAUUUUACACAGUCUAACAAACUCACGUGGAAGGCAUUCAUAACUGCUGCAGCACC